RNAcentral lists this transfer RNA (91 nucleotides) under Caulobacter rhizosphaerae. RNAcentral's name for it is "tRNA-Ala". The record is from RNAcentral. Lineage: Bacteria; Pseudomonadati; Pseudomonadota; Alphaproteobacteria; Caulobacterales; Caulobacteraceae.
CUGCGCCUGGUCAACGGGGUGCUGGUCGACCGCAUCGGCCCCAAGAAGACCGGGAUGAUGGGUCAGCUGAUCGUACUGGCCGGCCUGGUCC